Molecule: ribosomal RNA, 445 nt
Filed under: uncultured bacterium
Lineage: Bacteria
Description: bacterial SSU rRNA
Rfam family: Bacterial small subunit ribosomal RNA
Source: RNAcentral
AUUGAACGCUGGCGGCAUGCCUUACACAUGCAAGUCGAACGGUAACGCGGGGCAACCUGGCGACGAGUGGCGAACGGGUGAGUAAUGCAUCGGAACGUGCCCAGUAGUGGGGGAUAGCCCGGCGAAAGCCGGAUUAAUGCCGCAUACGACCUACGGGUGAAAGGGGGGGAUCGCAAGACCUCUCGCUAUUGGAGCGGCCGAUAUCUGGUUAGCUAGUUGGUGAGGUAAAGGCUCACCAAGGCGACGAUCAGUAGCUGGUCUGAGGGGACGACCAGCCACACUGGAACUGAGACACGGUCCAGACUCCUACGGGAGGCAGUAGUGGGGAAUUUUGGACAAUGGGCGCAAGCCUGAUCCAGCAAUGCCGCGUGAGUGGAGAAGGCCUUCGGGUUGUAAAGACUCUUUUGUCUAGGGAGAAAAGGUUAGUGGCGUAAUAUCCACAACU